UGAGAAAUGCUGCAGUAAUGGAUGUGGACAUCAGUGUACAGCUCCAUAUACAGCGAAACCAAAGCCCGGAGUGUGUCCAAACAAAAACCCUGGAGUAGAAAGAAUAUGUUUUGAGUCGUGUUCCCAUGACAGUGACUGUCUGAAAGAUGAGAAAUGCUGCAGCACUGGAUGUGGACAUCGGUGUACAGCUCCAUAUACAGCAAAGCCAGGAGUGUGUCCAGUCAAAACCCUUGGAGGAGUGUGUAAGGAUUUGUGUGUCGAUGACAGUGACUGUCCGAACACUGAGA
This is a long non-coding RNA of Rhinichthys klamathensis goyatoka, 287 nucleotides long. RefSeq lists it as uncharacterized. The record is from RefSeq and is a predicted model, not a curated record. The transcript is spliced from 3 exons. Lineage: Eukaryota; Metazoa; Chordata; Actinopteri; Cypriniformes; Leuciscidae.